AAUAAGAUAAAAUUACGUCACAUCCGGGCAUAUAAUUCAGUUGAAUUUCCAGCAGGUGAGCAUAGAGAUCAAUUGAUACGUGUGUGUGCAACGUCCAGCAUUAAAAUGGACAGGUAAGUUAUUUUUUACUACUUUAGCAGCAGCGUUUUAUCUCCCAGUCCACGUGGAUGUAAAGUUAUUUGAGUAGGCUGUAAAAAGCCCUGCACGUCCUUCACACAGGAAGGAACCUGCAGACACGUUCAUUAUAAACCUGAGUUUUUGCAUUAUAUUAAUUCUGCAGACCUUUCCAGCGAGAAUGAGCCUGUUGUGGCUCUGUCCUUUCCUGUAGUGUCUGCUAGAGAAAUUUGGGGCUGUUUGAGGCCCUGCUGUGUGCUCUUCAUGGCAGGGUUAUAGGUAAACCUCAGACAAACUGUCAGGUAUUUAUUGUUUAAUUAUUACUGCUCAUUUGAGCUUGACAUAAUUGUUUACUGUUUUCUAAUGUAGGUACACCUUGAAGCAAAAUUCCUUUAAUUUUAACAUGAACCCAUGUGCCGUGUGCAACUUUGGCAUAGCAAAAGUAGUAAUAAAUGUCAGAAUGUCCAGAAAACAUGUCAUCACUAUUUUAAUACAUCAGUGUGAAUGUGUGUAUUUUAUAACAAGAAAUACACAAUACUUUAAUGUCAGAGUAUGAAUGGCAAGACAUUCCCAGUAUUUGUAAUUUGCUUUGUCAGCCUUAUUCUACAGUAUUACACACACACACCUCUAUGCGAGUUAACGUACACAUUGUUUUAAUACUGUCAACACAAACUACAAGAAUUAUGUAUCAUGUUUCACUCAAGAUUGGCAGUAAAGCCUUACAUAAGCCAUUAAACUUUAAUCCUUUCAUGGCACAUAAUGCAUAAAGUGAUGCUUUUACUUGGUAAAACUUGUAUAAUUUGGUACUUAAAAGUAAAACUGUACUUUUACAGGACUGCAGCGACGAUGCCAGGCCCAGCCAUGUUCAGACCUCCUGACUGACAUCUGGUGCUGAAGUAUGAGUUAAGUGUCUGCUAGAGAGAUGUGAGGCUGUUUGAGGCCCUGCUGUGAUUCUUCAUGGCAGGGUUAUAGGAGUUGAAGUCACAUGAAGGCAUUGGGCUUCUGAGUGUAUGUCUGUCAUGUAGAAGCUCUCAAGGGACGUCAAGUGUCCACCUCACUUACUGAGCUUGAUACUGGCAUUUUUAAUCUUUCAAAGGCUCCACGGCUUCUGUCUACCUCAAUGAAGAGUCUGCAAGUAACCAUGUGGAUCAAUGUUGUGGCUCCUCAUUAAAACCAGAGGGUGCUGCAAACUUCAUCAAUAUGGCAAGACUCAAACGCAGAUUUCAUUUCGAGCCGAAGAACCAGUUCAUCUGCUGACGGGAAACAACGGUCACAUUUAGAUGUCUGACCUUCAGAUAAUUCCCAGUUUUUUGUGAUUUGCAAACUUGUACAUCAGCAGAAAAGUCUAAAAAAAAAAUAAUGGUGAAGAUGGAAGAGUUUUUGAGUCUUAAUUGCAGUAAUAUUUGUUGAUAAAAUCAUCUGUACGAGGGAUUGACGAGAAAUGUUAAAAUAAACAUCCUAAAUA
Long non-coding RNA from Micropterus salmoides (largemouth bass), 1579 nucleotides. RefSeq lists it as uncharacterized. Lineage: Eukaryota; Metazoa; Chordata; Actinopteri; Centrarchiformes; Centrarchidae. The record is from RefSeq and is a predicted model, not a curated record. The transcript has 6 exons.